UACGUGCAUGGUCUUGGUCAGACGCAAACCAGCGCCAUUUAGCCCUGGAGUAGGACGCUCGAUGCUGUGGACAUGGAACCUAACAAAUUGUGAAUGUAGACAUUCUCCAACUUAUUAGCACCUUUUGUCUCCUAUGGUCAUUUCUUUAGUUGUUCACCUUGGAGACUGAUAGCAUCCACAUGGACACCAUGCUGCUGGUGCUCUCAGUGCACUGGCUUCUGCUCCCGUGGGGGCUGCAGUGUGUUUGGGCACAGGACUAUAGAGGAUAUGAAGAGGUGGUGACUUCCAAAAGGAGUAACAGGCAAUAUACAUCCAAUUAUGUGCCAAAUAAUGGCAAAUCACUUACGGAUGAAGCCUGCAGUCUGGAAUUAGCCUUUUUGAUCGACAGCUCCGAGAGUGCCAAAGACAAUCAUGCCCAGGAGAAACAGUUUGCAUCAGAAGUGACCGAGCGACUGCAGGGCCUCCGCCUGCAGAGCGGCCGCAGCCUCGUCACCCGCUCGGCUCUCCUUCAGUACAGUAGCCACGUCAUCAUAGAGCAGACCUUUAACCAGUGGCAGGGUCCCGACAGCUUCAAGGCCCGCAUUGCUCCCAUGACAUAUAUCGGCCAUGGCACCUACACCACCUACGCCAUCACAAACCUCACACGCAUCUACCUGGAAGAGUCGGCUCCCAGCAGCAUCAAGGUGGCCAUUCUGCUCUUUGACGGUAUCUCGCACCCCAGGAACCCAGACAUAUCUUCAGCCGUGGCUGAUGCCAAGAACCAGGGCAUCCGCUUUUUCACCGUCGGAAUUACUCCUGAAGCCAAGGAGUCUGCCAAUAUUGCCCAGCUGCGGCUAAUUGCAAGCUCGCCAGACUCCCGCUACCUUCAUAACCUGCAAGACAGAGGCAUUGUGGAAAAAGUCAUCAGAGAGAUUACCACACUGGCAGAGGAAGGGUGUCCACUUGUGCAGAGCCUGUGUGCAUGUGAGAAGGGUGAGCGGGGGCCCAGCGGCCCAGCUGGCAAGAAGGGCCGUCCUGGAGAGGAUGGCAUCCCAGGACUAAAGGGACACAAGGGUGAGGCUGGGCUCAGCGGACUUCCAGGUCGAGAAGGUGCUGAGGGCAGACCAGGAUCCAAAGGGGAGCAGGGGGAGAGAGGAGAGUGUGGCUCACCUGGAAUUAAGGGAGACAGAGGUCCUGAAGGGUCCAUUGGCCCCAGGGGGAAUCGUGGGCUUCAGGGUUUGCCUGGUCCUCCUGGUGAUGUUGGACCUGAAGGUGUGAUUGGUAAAAAAGGGGAACGAGGACUUCGUGGCCCACCUGGAAUCCAAGGGGAAACAGGAAUCGGGCUCCCAGGACAAAAGGGUAAUGUCGGUCUCCAGGGGCAACCAGGGCCAAUAGGUCCAGUGGGCCUUGGUGAGCCUGGACCACUGGGGCCUCAAGGGCCACAAGGAAUCCAAGGAGAAAGGGGGCCUUUGGGAGAAGGUCUCCCUGGCCCAAAGGGGGAGCGAGGCUUGGAGGGGCCCCGGGGGCCCAGAGGACUAUCGGGUAUUGGAAUUAAAGGAGGCAAGGGGGAGUUUGGUCCUCCGGGUCCUGCAGGCCUCGUCGGCCUACCAGGUCUCGGCAUCCAGGGUGAGAAGGGCAUUGAAGGUCCGAGAGGGCCACGAGGGCUACGUGGACCACCGGGAGAAGGCCUACCUGGACCCAAGGGAGAACAGGGGUUCCCGGGUGAUGUUGGCUCUCCAGGAGAGAGAGGACUGGGAGAACAUGGAGAUAAGGGUGAGCAAGGAUCACCAGGAAUAUCGGGGUUACCUGGUUUGCCAGGGGAGGAUGGAGCGCCUGGACAGAAAGGUGAGCCAGGAGCUCCAGGCCUGAGGGGCCCGGAGGGGUCACCUGGGACUGGAACACAGGGUGAAAAGGGUGACCAAGGUCAAAGGGGAAUAAGAGGCCUGACUGGGCCACCUGGCAUUAGUGGCCCAUUAGGACCCAAGGGUGAACCAGGGUCACAAGGCAGGGUGGGUUUACCUGGUCUACCAGGACGCUUUGUAAUGGGACCCAAGGGUGAUGUUGGUCCAAAUGGCCCUCCUGGUCCGGUUGGGGAGACCGGCUAUGGGCUUCCCGGUCCAAAGGGUGACCAUGGAGAUCUAGGCCCUGCCGGUCCAUUUGGCCAAAAAGGAGAAGGCUAUCCCGGCCCGAUGGGGCCCCCUGGUCUACCUGGGCUUCCAGGAGAACCCGGCCCUGAAGGGAUAGGUUUACCUGGUCCAAAGGGGGAUAUUGGUUUCCGAGGGCUGCUUGGUUUACCGGGAUCUCCAGGUGAAGGACUCCCGGGACCUCAGGGUCAUCCUGGGCGACCGGGCCCCCUGGGGCCAGUGGGGCCACCAGGAGUAGGAGUCCAGGGACCAAAGGGUGAACAGGGGAUCCAGGGUGUGACAGGACCAAGGGGGCCUGCUGGAGAAGGCUUUCCUGGAGCUAAAGGUGACCGUGGUUCGGCAGGGGAGAGGGGCCUGAAGGGCUUCACGGGAGAUAUGGGUGACCCAGGGAACCCAGGGCAACCCGGUCAAUCUGGUGUCAAAGGAGAAGCAGGUCUCACAAGGGAGGACGUCAUUAGAUUGAUCAGAGAAAUUUGUGGAUGUGGGAUCAAGUGUAAGGAGAGGCCUAUGGAGCUGGUGUUUGUCAUUGACAGCUCAGAGAGCGUGGGUCCCGAGAACUUUGAGAUCAUUAAGGACUUUGUCAACGCACUGGUUGACCGAGUCACGGUGGGCCGCAACUCCACCAGGAUUGGCCUGGUACUGUACAGCCUGGAGGUGAGGCUGGUGUUCAACCUGGCCCGCUAUGUAACCAAACAGGACAUCAAACAGGCCAUUAGGAACAUACAAUACAUGGGAGAGGGCACCUACACUGGUACGGCCAUCCGCAAAGCGACCCAGGAAGCCUUUUACAGUUCACGCCUGGGAGUCAGUAAAGUUGCCAUUGUUAUUACGGAUGGACAGGCGGACAAACGGGAGCCAGUGAAGCUCGGUAUUGCCGUACGUGAAGCUCACGCGGCCAAUAUCGAAAUGUUUGCCCUCGGUAUUGUCAACACUUCGGAUCCAACACAGGCAGAGUUUCUUCGGGAGCUCAACCUGAUUGCAUCUGAUCCAGACUCCGAUCACAUGUUUCUUAUUGAUGACUUCAACACCUUACCAGCUUUGGAAUCCAAGUUGGUCAGCCAGUUCUGUGAGGACGAGAAUGGAGACCUUAUAUAUAACAGACUGACUAAUGUAAACAAUGGCCAUAGCAACAGCAGGAAUGGUAACAAUGGGAAGUAUGCCAAAGGCGGCAGUGGGUACCAGCCUGCCAAUGACUGGGAACUCCUGAACACCCGUCAGUUCAACAACCAGAACCAUGGGGACAAGGUGGAGAGCAUCCAGUAUGGCCAUGAAGGAUCCAGUACAGGACAACAAGUUCUUCCAGGGACAACAAACUGGGGGAGAGAGCGUGGGGACACUUUUAACGAUGGGAGCACAGCAUUCAAACCUAUUCCUUCUUCCAGAGAAGACUCUUCCUCAGUGAAUGUAACAUCAUCAUCAUCAGGCGUAUCUGGGAAGUAUGUUCCUGCACCAAGACCAACUCUUCCCAAAGAGACCGCAACCUUGGACCCUCGCUGUGCCUUGGCUCUAGAUCAGGGCUUGUGCCGCGAAUACGUCAUCCGCUGGUACUAUGACAAGCAGGCCAAUGCAUGUGCUCAGUUUUGGUUCGGAGGCUGCAGCGGUAACAAGAACCGCUUUGACACAGAGGAGGAAUGCAAGAAGACUUGUGUGGAAACCACAUCUACUGGAAGCUGAGUGAAGGCACUGUAUAGAUUCUGAAUUUGCUUCAGAGUCCAACAUUUUUCAUCACUCCUACUCAGGAACAGAGGCCGGGGGUCGCCACAGCGCGUCAUCCUUUUCCAUGUAAGCCUAUCUCCUGCAUCCUCCUCUCGAACACCAACUGCCCUCAUGUCUUCCCUCACGACAUUCCACUUCUUCGACUUCGACCCACAGUAGCUGAAUUUCCACCGGCGCCGGUGGCGGACGUUGUUAACCCGGGGGCCACGACCGAUCUGGUAUGGAAUUCUUUGGAUGAACGCUCAUAUUUGUUUGGCAAAGUUUUAAGCCGGAUGCCCUUCCUCACGCAACCCUCUGCAUUUAUCCGAGCUUGGGACCGGCCUACAGUUUGCACUGACUUGUGCCCCCCAUAGGGCUGCAUUAAUGAUCAACCAUUGGAUAUAUCAGUGCUUAGUUUUUCAAACAUAAGGAUCUGCUCUGGUUCUUGUUAAACAUCAUAAUUAACGCAUUAUUUUGCACGGGGACUAUUGGCUUUUGAUAGAUUUUGAUGGUCAUUCCUGAUGCUCAUUCCAUCACACAUGCCUGAAAUUUUGUGAUUAACACACCUGCGUUAUUCACAAAUAAAUUAAGGAAACUAUUACCCCCAGUUUGCAAAAUUAAAAAAGAAUGAGAUGUUCUUUUUUUUUAGGGGUUCUUUUACCUCUCCACAAAGUUUAAAAUAAAUUGAAUGGUAUUUGCAUAAUCAUGCAAAUGUAUAAACAGCAAUAAAAACAACCUCAUUGACAGUGGUGUUAAUGUAAUGUAAUGAUACUUAAGUUGCAGUGCAUGUAUUCAUCAAAGAUUUAAAAUCUGUAAAACAAAUGGCUCAAUCGAUAAUAAUGAAUAAUUUAGUUACAUGCUAAUUUGACACAAAUGAGUCUGAAGCCAUGCCGAUAAGCAUCCUUUUGUAUUAGGAGCGGGACAAACUAGAUACUGUGAUGUAUUGUACCAUUGAUGAGUACGAUCAAGUAUAUAUACACCAGUAUCAAAUAUUUAUACCCAUGCGGUCUGAUAAAGUAUGUGAAUCUAUAAUUUCCCUAAUGUGCUGUGUAUCAGCACUGCAUAUCCAUCCAUCCAUUUUCUGAGCCACUUCUCCUCACAAGGGUCGCGGGAGUGCUGGAGCCUAUCCCAGCUAUCAUAGGGGCAGGAGGCGGGUACACCCUGAACUGGUUGCCAGCCAAUCGCAGGGCACAUACAAUCAAACAACCAUUCGCAAUCACAUUCACACCUACGGGCAAUUUAGAGUCUUCAAUUAACCUACCAUGCAUGUUUUGGGGAUGUGGGAGGAAACCGGAGUGCCCGGAGAAAACCCACGCAGGCACAGGGAGAACAUGCAAACUCCACACAGGCGGGGCCGGGGAUUGAACCCCGGUCCUCAAAACUGUGAGGCAGACGCUCUAACCAGUCACUCACCGUGCCGCUGCACUGCAUAUCAAAACCACAAAUCAAAUUGUGGUUGUGUUUAAAAGUUAAAAGUUUCUUGCUACUGAAAAAAAAUAUUAAUUGGCCAUAUCCGCUUGUAAAAAGUGGGAGAAAAAUCUGUUUUUUUGUAUGCUGAAUCUGUAAGACUGUCUAUACGGUUUCCCUUCUUAAUGGAUAUCAUAAUUUCUUUUUCUGAUUGCUGCUUAACUGGGAUAUUGUCACUGUCAAAAUAUAUGUGCUUGUAUGUAUGGUGAGUUACACUUUGAUUCACAUCCCCAUUUUGUAUGUAACACUGGCAGCUAUAAAUAUAUCCUUAGUCAAGUCAAGCUAUUCCAGGGCUCUGACACUAUUGUCUUCACUCUAA
Phyllopteryx taeniolatus (common seadragon) is the source of this 5604-nucleotide RNA transcript. It is a transcript of the gene named collagen alpha-1(XXVIII) chain-like, with no coding region annotated. The transcript has 37 exons. Lineage: Eukaryota; Metazoa; Chordata; Actinopteri; Syngnathiformes; Syngnathidae. The record is from RefSeq and is a predicted model, not a curated record.